CCACGCCACACCAACGGAUACACUAAAACCUGUUGAAUCGGGAGAAGAAGCUAUCUCCACCAGAUCCUCCUCAGCCUCAAGGAGGGGGGAGAAAAGGACAGAGUGCUCCUAUCACAGUGGGCUGGAGGUUUUCCCUAUCUGGAGUGUGAACACUACCAGAGUGAGAAAGGGCAAAGCAGAGAUUUUUGUGGACUGGCAGCCCUGCC
Lampris incognitus (smalleye Pacific opah) is the source of this 206-nucleotide long non-coding RNA. RefSeq lists it as uncharacterized. The transcript is spliced from 4 exons. The record is from RefSeq and is a predicted model, not a curated record. NCBI's taxonomy places the organism in Eukaryota, Metazoa, Chordata, Actinopteri, Lampriformes, Lampridae.